RNAcentral lists this ribosomal RNA (549 nucleotides) under Trigonopterus viduus. RNAcentral describes it as "partial large subunit ribosomal RNA". It matches the Rfam family "Bacterial large subunit ribosomal RNA", at positions 1802 to 2625 of the family's 2925-position model. Lineage: Eukaryota; Metazoa; Arthropoda; Insecta; Coleoptera; Curculionidae. The record is from RNAcentral.
GUUAUUAAAAACAUGGCUUGUUGAUUAUGAUUUCAGGUCUGGUCUGCCCACUGAGUUGUUAAAUGGCCGCGGUAUAUUGACCGUGCAAAGGUAGCAUAGUCAUUAGUUUCUUAAUUGGGAGCUUGUAUGAAGGAUUUAAUGAGAAAGUGACUGUCUCUAUUAAAAUUUAUUAGAAUUUUAUUUUUAAGUGAGAAAGCUUAAAUUUUUAUAAAAGACGAGAAGACCCUAUAGAGUUUUAUGAUGAUAAUAAAUUAAGGAUUUAGGGAUUUUAUAUUGAAUUUAUUUUUGUUGAUUUUAUUGGGGUGAUAAGAAAAUUGGUGUAACUUUUCUCUAUUUUUAUAUUUAUUUAUAGGUUAAUGAUCCUAAUUUAGUAGAUUACAAGAAUAAACUACCUUAGGGAUAACAGCGUUAUUUUUUUUAGAGUUCUUAUUGAAAAAAUUGAUUGCGACCUCGAUGUUGGAUUAAAAUUAAUUAUUGGUGAAGAAGCUGAUAGGUUAGGUCUGUUCGACCUUUAAAAUUUUACAUGAUCUGAGUUUAAACCGGCGUGAG